This is a long non-coding RNA of Astyanax mexicanus (Mexican tetra), 731 nucleotides long. RefSeq lists it as uncharacterized. The transcript is spliced from 5 exons. NCBI's taxonomy places the organism in Eukaryota, Metazoa, Chordata, Actinopteri, Characiformes, Acestrorhamphidae. The record is from RefSeq and is a predicted model, not a curated record.
CACCUUUACUUAACAGUAAUAUUUAAUAUUUUGUUUCCAGCACUUCCCUCAACAAACUUCUGGGAACUACUGUGGCAUCCUUAUACUCAUUUAUGCCCUCUGUAUCUGCACCAAUACCCCAUUUAUCUUCACAGAGAAUGAUGUGCCAUUAAUCCGCCAGUGGUGGUGCAUCCUACUGAUGGAAAGAUUUCAGAUUGAAGGACAUGGCCAGAGGUUUGCUUUCUGGACUGACAAGGCUAGCAGGCUAUUGCAAGGGACCCUUCAGCCACUUUUUAGGGUAUCUAGGUCAAUCACUUCAGACAUUCCACCUCAUGUGCAAACCAUGGUCAACCGCACAGCCCAAGAAAAGAAGCUGGUAGACUUUGCUGUACAAGACCAUGGAGUCCGGCAACAUUUGUUGGGUGUACUCUGUGGAAAAGAGCCUUCGAAGUGGCUCAGCAGAAUCCAGAAGGGAUCAUCUCUACGGGUGCCAGUGUACCUGGACUCGGAGGAAGAACAGGACUCCCUAUUUUUCUAUCUUCAGGAUGUCCUGAAAUCUGCACCAGUAGAAUUCCACAUUGAGGAUCAAGUGCAGUUCAUUUUGGAUGUUUUGUUCCCAGAGGUAAGGUUACUAGGUAUGCAGUAAAUAUCUAUUAACAAUGUUAAAUAGCCUGUUGUGACUUAAGUUACAUAAAAUUUUUAAUCAAAUGUAUCUUUUUUUAAAAUCCAAUAGAGUAGUACUGUGAGACCAU